RNAcentral lists this ribosomal RNA (476 nucleotides) under uncultured bacterium. Its description in RNAcentral is "SSU rRNA". It matches the Rfam family "Bacterial small subunit ribosomal RNA", at positions 26 to 518 of the family's 1533-position model. The record is from RNAcentral.
AGGACGAACGCUGGCGGCGUGCUUAACACAUGCAAGUCGAGCGAGGCCCUUCCUUCGGGAAGGUGUCCUAGCGGCGAACGGGUGAGUAACACGUGGGCAACCUGCCCUCAGCUCUGGGAUAACUCCGGGAAACCGGGGCUAAUACCGGAUACGACCUCUAAGGGCAUCCGAAGAGGUGGAAAGUUUUUCGGCUGAGGAUGGGCCCGCGGCCUAUCAGCUUGUUGGUGGGGUGACGGCCUACCAAGGCGACGACGGGUAGCCGGCCUGAGAGGGUGACCGGCCACACUGGGACUGAGACACGGCCCAGACUCCUACGGGAGGCAGCAGUGGGAAUAUUGCGCAAUGGGCGGAAGCCUGACGCAGCGACGCCGCGUGAGGGACGAAGGCCUUCGGGUUGUAAACCUCUUUCAGCAGGGACGAAGCGAAGUGACGGUACCUGCAGAAGAAGCACCGGCCAACUACGUGCCAGCAGCCGC